UACAUAUAGAUUGUGGAGCAAAA
RNAcentral lists this unclassified non-coding RNA (23 nucleotides) under Mus musculus (house mouse). Its description in RNAcentral is "oocyte_clustered_small_RNA13143". The record is from RNAcentral. Lineage: Eukaryota; Metazoa; Chordata; Mammalia; Rodentia; Muridae.